Molecule: long non-coding RNA, 310 nt
Filed under: Elaeis guineensis (African oil palm)
Lineage: Eukaryota; Viridiplantae; Streptophyta; Magnoliopsida; Arecales; Arecaceae
Description: long non-coding RNA (EGUI_LNC005988)
Source: RNAcentral
UCCCACAUAUGAAAGUCCGUGGAGGGCUGUCCCAGGCGUAAUAAGCUCCUAACGAGCUGUCCCAAGCAUGAGUCGCUGGACGGCCAAACAUUGAAUGAAAUGUUGGCAUGGGGUUUCGGCAAGUAUCUGAACCCUCCAUUGGUCCAUAAGACUUCUAGAGAGAGAAAAUUUUAAAGAAACAAGAUAGAGAGAGAAAGUUGAGAAAAUCUCUGUAUUUUUCAGAUGAGACAAUCAUGAUCGAGAUUAUCAGAGAUCAUAUCAAGAUGAUUCAAUAUAGAUUAACUAUGAUCGAUGUCAUAAAUUUCGAAUA